RNAcentral lists this long non-coding RNA (328 nucleotides) under Elaeis guineensis (African oil palm). Its description in RNAcentral is "long non-coding RNA (EGUI_LNC057172)". Lineage: Eukaryota; Viridiplantae; Streptophyta; Magnoliopsida; Arecales; Arecaceae. The record is from RNAcentral.
AGUCGAGCUCCUGCGAUAGCCGAACUUCUACCACGAGUGGCCUACUCUAAACUUUCACUACGAGUGAUCUGCCCCGAACUCCUGCUGCAAGUAGUCUACUCCGAACCCUUACAGCGGAUGGCCUACCUCGGAUCCCUACUGUAAGCAAAUCCCAUCCGAGCCUCCGUUGUAAAUAUAUUCCUUCCGAACUUCCAUUACAGGUAGACUUCAGCCGAGCUUCUUCAUAGUCGGGUCCCAUGACAACUGACCUUCGAUCGAGCUUCCACAAUAAGCAGUCUCCUUUCAGCCUUCUACAAGAAUCAGACUUCGAUCGAACUUCUAUAGCGGU